CCUACGGCAGCAGUGAGGAAUAUUGGUCAAUGGGCGGGAGCCUGAACCAGCCAAGUCGCGUGCGGGAUGACGGCCCUAUGGGUUGUAAACCUCUUUUGCCGGGGAGCAAAGUGCCGCACGUGUGCGGUUUGGAGAGUACCCGGAGAAAAAGCAUCGGCUAACUCCGUGCGAGCAGCCGCGGUAAUACGGAGGAUGCGAGCGUUAUCCGGAUUUAUUGGGUUUAAAGGGUGCGUAGGCGGACGCUUAAGUCAGCGGUAAAAUUGCGGGGCUCAACCUCGUCGAGCCGUUGAAGCUGGCAGUCUCGG
Molecule: ribosomal RNA, 305 nt
Filed under: uncultured bacterium
Lineage: Bacteria
Description: bacterial SSU rRNA
Rfam family: Bacterial small subunit ribosomal RNA
Source: RNAcentral